RNAcentral lists this ribosomal RNA (468 nucleotides) under uncultured bacterium. RNAcentral describes it as "partial 16S ribosomal RNA". It matches the Rfam family "Bacterial small subunit ribosomal RNA", at positions 28 to 507 of the family's 1533-position model. The record is from RNAcentral.
GACGAACGCUGGCGGCGUGCUUAACACAUGCAAGUCGAACGGAAAGGCCCUGCUUUUGUGGGGUGCUCGAGUGGCGAACGGGUGAGUAACACGUGAGUAACCUGCCCUUGACUUUGGGAUAACUUCAGGAAACUGGGGCUAAUACCGGAUAGGAGCUCCUGCUGCAUGGUGGGGGUUGGAAAGUUUCGGCGGUUGGGGAUGGACUCGCGGCUUAUCAGCUUGUUGGUGGGGUAGUGGCUUACCAAGGCUUUGACGGGUAGCCGGCCUGAGAGGGUGACCGGCGACAUUGGGCCUGAGAUACGGACCAGACGCCUACGGGAGGCAGUAGUGGGGAACAUUGCACAAUGGGCGGAAGCCUGAUGCAGCAACGCUGCGUGCGGGAUGACGGCUUUCGGGUUGUAAACCGCUUUCGACUGUGACGAAGCGUGAGUGACGGUAAUGGGUAAAGAAGCACCGGCUAACUACGUG